RNAcentral lists this ribosomal RNA (465 nucleotides) under uncultured bacterium. RNAcentral's name for it is "partial 16S ribosomal RNA". It matches the Rfam family "Bacterial small subunit ribosomal RNA", at positions 28 to 507 of the family's 1533-position model. The record is from RNAcentral.
GACGAACGCUGGCGGCGUGCUUAACACAUGCAAGUCGAACGGAAAGGCCCCUUUGGGGGUACUCGAGUGGCUAACUGUUUUGUAACACGUGAGUAACCUGCCCUUGACUUCGGGAUAACUUCAGUAAACUGGUUCUAAUACCGGAUUGUAAUCCUUGCUGCAUGGUGGGGGUUGGAAAGCUUCGGCUGUUUUGGUUGGACUCGCUGCUUAUCUGCUUGUUGGUGGGGUUGUGGCUUACCAAGGAUUUGACGGGUAGCCGGACUGAGAGGGCGAACGGCCACAUUGGGAAUGAGAUACGGCACAGACACAGACGGGAGGCAGAAGUGGGGAAUAAUGCAAAAUGGGAGGAAGACUGAUGCAGCAAAGAAGAGUGAGGGAUGAAGGCAUUCGGGUUGAAAAACGAAUUAAGCAGGGGAGAAGCUUGUGGUGACGGUAAAAGAAGAAGAAGAACCGGAUAACUACGUG